This 489-nucleotide ribosomal RNA is filed under the name uncultured bacterium. RNAcentral describes it as "partial 16S ribosomal RNA". It matches the Rfam family "Bacterial small subunit ribosomal RNA", at positions 30 to 507 of the family's 1533-position model. The record is from RNAcentral.
AUUGAACGCUGGCGGCAGGCCUAACACAUGCAAGUCGAACGGUAACAGGAAGCAGCUUGCUGCUUCGCUGACGAGUGGCGGACGGGUGAGUAAUGUCUGGAAGCUGCCUGAUGGAGGGGGAUAACUACUGGAAACGGUAGCUAAUACCGCAUAAUGUCGCAAGACCAAAGAGGGGGACCUUCGGGCCUCUUGCCAUCGGAUGUGCCCAGAUGGGAUUAGCUUGUUGGUGGGGUAACGGCUCACCAAGGCGACGAUCCCUAGCUGGUCUGAGAGGAUGACCAGCCACACUGGAACUGAGACACGGUCCAGACUCCUACGGGAGGCAGCAGUGGGGAAUAUUGCACAAUGGGCGCAAGCCUGAUGCAGCCAUGCCGCGUGUAUGAAGAAGGCCUUCGGGUUGUAAAGUACUUUCAGCGGGGAGGAAGGGAGUAAAGUUAAUACCUUUGCUCAUUGACGUUACCCGCAGAAGAAGCACCGGCUAACUCCGUG